This 86-nucleotide transfer RNA is filed under the name Acanthocystis turfacea Chlorella virus NE-JV-2. RNAcentral's name for it is "tRNA-Leu". It matches the Rfam family "tRNA". Rfam says of the family: Transfer RNA (tRNA) molecules are approximately 80 nucleotides in length. The record is from RNAcentral. Lineage: Varidnaviria; Bamfordvirae; Nucleocytoviricota; Megaviricetes; Algavirales; Phycodnaviridae. RNAcentral also lists the same sequence under 2 other names.
GGCAGAAUCGGUUAGUCAGGUCUAUGCCGGAGGUCUUAAGAACCUCUCCUCUUACGAGGUCGUGGGUUCGAAUCCCACUUCUGCCA